Oncorhynchus tshawytscha (Chinook salmon) is the source of this 1498-nucleotide long non-coding RNA. The record is from Ensembl. NCBI's taxonomy places the organism in Eukaryota, Metazoa, Chordata, Actinopteri, Salmoniformes, Salmonidae.
AUCAGAUGUAAUAAUUACACGUUGUAGGAAUGUUGUAAAACUCCAUGUCAAACUGCAGAAGGAGGAGGUAGGCCAUUAAGGAGAUGAAAUACAGCUGGUUCAUUGAUAGUAGUUAGGUCGUUAGCUAGUUAACAUUUCACACAGAUUGCCAGGGUCCAGUAAGCAACUACGUUAACAAUAUAACUUGAGGAACGGCAAGAAGUCGUAUACCAGUUAAUACUAUAGCGAGUUGGUUCGUUUACUAACGUUAGCUUAUCCGAUGUUGUAACGUUCCUGUUAGCUAGUUGUCUGACUUCAUUACCCAGCUAAUUCUCACACCAUAAACUCAAUUAUUUGAUCAGCUAAAUUGGAUAGUGUUGCUCAACAUUUCUCUGGCUAGCUAACGCGGAGAAUUCAAUCCAACUAGCAAUAUACAAUGCUAACAAUUCUUGUUCCAUCACACUUGCUCCCUCACCUCAAACUUUCCAAAUGCCAUUGUUUUUCAGUUACAGGUCAUGAAGUAGCUUCAUCACCUUCUCACCCCAGUCUCCGUGGUCAGGCUUCUCACCUACCUCUUCGUUAUCGUUCAGGGGACGCGCUGCUGUAACUGGCAAACUGCCUUUCCACACGCUGCUGUCUUUCCAGAGCGAGCGCUGAUGCUGUAACUGCUGGUUGUCUCUUCUCUCUUCAGUCGCAUGCUGCAUUCUGUUGUAAUGUGACUGAUUGACUGAGCCUUGGAUACAGCCAGUAUUACUCCAAAUGCGCAUCAGUCAUUUGCUUACAGCCAGUAGUGGUCCAAAGCCCUCCCUCCCAAACUUUUCUCAUCAGCUCUACACGAAUCAUGCCCAAUCCAACCAAUAGAGUUUGACGUCACAAUGAGAAAGGACCAGAAGGAAACGCGACGGAGAGGCCAUAGUUGGUUUAUAAAGAUGCGCCAUGGUCUGAUGUGGGGUGAUGUUCCCUGCCCCAGCCUGAGUAGGUGGUGCUGGGAGGCAGCUUGCUCUCCUCUCCCUGCCUGACAGGAGCACGAUGACAGAGGAGACCAGGGAACCCAGCCACCCGGUCCCCACUCAAGCGGGCAUCCUUGGGGUGACGUUCACAGCCUCCGGAAGAGGGACCCUCUGCACACAUCAACAACAGUCACCCACGAAGCACCGUUACCCAUCGCUCCACAAAAGCCACGGCCCUUGCAGAGCAAGGGGAACAACGACUUCAAGGUCUCAGAGCGAGUGACGUCACCGAUUGAAACGCUAUUAGCACGCACCCCUCUAACCAUUUCACACCGGUUACAUGUGCAUGCGUGGAUGCGUGGGCAGACAGAGUGCAUGCAAAUUCGUGCGUGUGCAUUUUAAAGCAUCAUGAAGAACCUUGAGUGUGGAACAGCAGGGGCAUUUGGUGGCGUGCUUGUCAGGGACACACAGUUCCUGUUGGCUGAUCAGCUUCGCUCUGUCCUCUGCUGAAUCACCCAUCCUAUCCAGUCAGACACAGGACAGCACACUGCAUCUCAGCUGGCUCACCG